UACGGGGGGGGCAAGCGUUGUUCGGAAUUACUGGGCGUAAAGGGCGUGUAGGCGGCUGAAUAAGUGGGAUGUUAAAUCCCCCGGCUCAACCGGGGAACUGCAUCUCAUACUGUUCAGCUUGGGUACAGCAGAGGAGACUGGAAUUCCCGGUGUAGCGGUGAAAUGCGUAGAUAUCAGGAGGAACACCGGUGGCGAAGGCGGUUCUCUGGGAAUGUCCUGACGCUGAGGAGCGAAAGUGUGGGGAGCGAACAGG
Molecule: ribosomal RNA, 253 nt
Filed under: uncultured bacterium
Lineage: Bacteria
Description: partial 16S ribosomal RNA
Rfam family: Bacterial small subunit ribosomal RNA
Source: RNAcentral